GACGAACGCUGGCGGCGUGCUUAACACAUGCAAGUCGAGCGGUAAGGCCUUUCGGGGUCCACGAGCGGCGAACGGGUGAGUAACACGUGGGUGAUCUGCCCUGCACUUCGGGAUAAGCCUGGGAAACUGGGUCUAAUACUGGAUAUGACCUCCUAUCGCAUGGUGGGUGGUGGAAAGAUUUAUCGGUGCAGGAUGGGCCCGCGGCCUAUCAGCUUGUUGGUGGGGUAAUGGCCUACCAAGGCGACGACGGGUAGCCGACCUGAGAGGGUGACCGGCCACACUGGGACUGAGACACGGCCCAGACUCCUACGGGAGGCAGCAGUGGGGAAUAUUGCACAAUGGGCGAAAGCCUGAUGCAGCGACGCCGCGUGAGGGAUGACGGCCUUCGGGUUGUAAACCGCUUUCAGCAGGGACGAAGCGCAAGUGACGGUACCUGCAGAAGAAGCACCGGCUAACUACGUG
RNAcentral lists this ribosomal RNA (462 nucleotides) under uncultured bacterium. RNAcentral's name for it is "partial 16S ribosomal RNA". It matches the Rfam family "Bacterial small subunit ribosomal RNA", at positions 28 to 507 of the family's 1533-position model. The record is from RNAcentral.